RNAcentral lists this ribosomal RNA (451 nucleotides) under uncultured bacterium. Its description in RNAcentral is "bacterial SSU rRNA". It matches the Rfam family "Bacterial small subunit ribosomal RNA", at positions 343 to 793 of the family's 1533-position model. The record is from RNAcentral.
UGGAGGCAGCAGUGGGGAAUCUUGCGCAAUGGCCGAAAGGCUGACGCAGCGACGCCGCGUGUGGGAGGAAGCUCUUCGGGGUGUAAACCACUGUUGCCCGGGACGAACAGCACUAUUCGUAGUGCCUGACGGUACCGGGUGAGGAAGCACCGGCUAACUCUGUGCCAGCAGCCGCGGUAAUACAGAGGGUGCGAGCGUUGUCCGGAAUCACUGGGCGUAAAGGGCGCGUAGGUGGUGGCUUAAGCGUGCGGUGAAAGCUCGGAGCUCAACUCCGAGUCGGCCGUGCGAACUGGGCUCACUGGAGCAUAGUAGAGGCAGGUGGAAUUCCGGGUGUAGCGGUGGAAUGCGUAGAGAUCCGGAAGAACACCGGUGGCGAAGGCGGCCUGCUGGGCUAUGGCUGACACUGAGGCGCGACAGCGUGGGGAGCAAACAGGAUUAGAUACCCUAGUAU